This 967-nucleotide long non-coding RNA is filed under the name Zostera marina. RNAcentral's name for it is "long non-coding RNA (ZMAR_LNC003730)". Lineage: Eukaryota; Viridiplantae; Streptophyta; Magnoliopsida; Alismatales; Zosteraceae. The record is from RNAcentral.
AUAAUGUUCAGGGAUGUAAUAGAAUUAGUUGUCAAUGAAUGUUAUAAAUAAUGGGUGUAAACUUCAAUUCAAGGAAUUCAAAUACAUUUUGUGAUAUUUUCACAUUUCAAUUUACAGUUUCUUUCUGUUAACUCUUCUUCCCCAAAUCCCCCUCCCGCCGGCCUGCAAUCCGAUCUCCUGUGGCCUUUCGUCGCCGGCAUUGGGUCGUCGUCGUUUUAUAGAAACAAAGAACACUUCAGGUUAACUCUAAAGAAAUAGUUGUUCAUUAAUCUGUCGUGGAUAUUAAGCACAUACGUUUCUUGAAGGAUCCUUCCCAGUGAUGUCGAUAUUGGAGAAGGUGGAAAGGAAACGGAGACCACGUAAAUUAACCCUAAAUUAAAUAUGCCAACCUAAAUUUUUGAUUAUCUUACGGAGACCAAAAAACACCCAAAAGAAGUGAGAAUGGAAACAACCAGAAUGAAAACAACCAGAGAAAUAAAAAGAAUAAGAAACCGAAAAGAAACAAACAUAGAAUGAAACCAAGGUUGAGAAAAACCAGAGAAUGAAACAAGGUUGAGCAAAACCAGAGAAAUAAAAAUCCCAAAGAAAUCCAGAAAACAAAGAACAGAGAAACAAAGAACAACCAGAGAACAAAAGAAGAUUAAAACAACCAGAGAGAUGAAAAGAAGAAGAAACACAAAAGAAGAAGAAAUCGAGAUCAAGAUCGAGAACGAGAACAAAGGAAUACAAAGAAACUCAACAAACCGACAAUGAAACCCAACAAACCGACAAUGAAAACAACCAGAGAAAUAAAAAGAGGAGGAAACCCAAAAGAAGAAGAAACCGAGAACGAGAAAGGAGAAUAAAGAAGAAACCCAUGGCCGAUAACGGAGGAUGAAGAAGACAACCAGAGAAUGAUGAAGAAGACAACCAGAAAAAUAAAUAACAGACACCGACAAGACAUGUCAAAAAAACACCUAUAACUGAC